Molecule: ribosomal RNA, 308 nt
Filed under: uncultured cyanobacterium
Lineage: Bacteria; Bacillati; Cyanobacteriota
Description: bacterial SSU rRNA
Rfam family: Bacterial small subunit ribosomal RNA
Source: RNAcentral
GACGAACGCUGGCGGCGUGCUUAACACAUGCAAGUCGAACGAGGUAGCAAUACCUAGUGGCGGACGGGUGAGUAACACGUGGGUAACCUGCCUUGUAGUGGGGAUACCCAUCCGAAAGGAUGGUUAAUACCGCAUACCCUUUGUCGUUGUAAUACGGCUCAGGAAAGAUUUAUCGCUAUAAGAGGGGUCCGCGCAUGAUUAGCUAGUUGGUGAGGUAAUGGCUCACCAAGGCGACGAUCAUUAGCUGGUCUGAGAGGACGAUCAGCCACACUGGAACUGAGAACGGUCCAGACUCCUACGGGUGGCAG